CCUACGGGAGGCAGCAGUGGGGAAUAUUGGACAAUGGGCGAAAGCCUGAUCCAGCCAUGCCGCGUGUGUGAAGAAGGUCUUCGGAUUGUAAAGCACUUUAAGUUGGGAGGAAGGGCAGUAAGUUAAUACCUUGCUGUUUUGACGUCACCGACAGAAUAAGCACCGGCUAACUUCGUGCCAGCAGCCGCGGU
This 191-nucleotide ribosomal RNA is filed under the name uncultured Pseudomonas sp. RNAcentral's name for it is "partial 16S ribosomal RNA". It matches the Rfam family "Bacterial small subunit ribosomal RNA", at positions 338 to 521 of the family's 1533-position model. The record is from RNAcentral. Lineage: Bacteria; Pseudomonadati; Pseudomonadota; Gammaproteobacteria; Pseudomonadales; Pseudomonadaceae.